UGCCAGCAGCCGCGGUAAUACGAAAGGGGCUAGCGUUGUUCGGAUUUACUGGGCGUAAAGGGCACGCAGGCGGUCUUGCCAGUCAGGGGUGAAAGCCCGAGGCUCAACCUCGGAACUGCCUCUGAUACUGUAAGACUUGAGACUAGGAGAGGGUGGUGGAAUUCCCAGUGUAGAGGUGAAAUUCGUAGAUAUUGGGAGGAACACCAGAGGCGAAGGCGGCCACCUGGACUAGAUCUGACGCUCAGGUGCGAAAGCGUGGGGAGCAAACAGGAUUAGAUA
This 279-nucleotide ribosomal RNA is filed under the name uncultured bacterium. RNAcentral describes it as "partial 16S ribosomal RNA". It matches the Rfam family "Bacterial small subunit ribosomal RNA", at positions 506 to 784 of the family's 1533-position model. The record is from RNAcentral.